AACGGCUGGCGGCGUGCCUAACACAUGCAAGUCGUACGAGAAAGUCGGCUUCGGCUGAUGAGUAAAGUGGCGCACGGGUGAGUAACGCGUGGAUAAUCUGCCUUUUAGUUGGGAAUAACGUACCGAAAGGUGCGCUAAUACCGGAUAAUACUGAGCAACUACUGUUGCUUAGUCAAAGAAGGCCUCUGUUACAAGCUUUUGCUGAAAGAUGAGUCCGCGUACCAUUAGCUAGUUGGUAGGGUAAUGGCCUACCAAGGCUACGAUGGUUAGCUGGUCUGAGAGGAUGAUCAGCCACACUGGAACUGAGACACGGUCCAGACUCCUACGGGAGGCAGCAGUGAGGAAUAUUGCGCAAUGGGGGCAACCCUGACGCAGCAACGCCGCGUGAGUGAGGAAGGUUUUCGGACCGUAAAGCUCUGUCGAGUGGGAAGAAAUGUAUCGUGGCUAAUAUCCAUGAUACUUGACGGUACCGCUAAAGGAAGCACCGGCUAACUCCGUG
This 499-nucleotide ribosomal RNA is filed under the name uncultured bacterium. Its description in RNAcentral is "bacterial SSU rRNA". It matches the Rfam family "Bacterial small subunit ribosomal RNA", at positions 35 to 507 of the family's 1533-position model. The record is from RNAcentral.